CAGCAGCCGCGGGAAUACGAAGGGUGCAAGCGUUACUCGGAAUUACUGGGCGUAAAGCGUGCGUAGGUGGUGGUUUAAGUCCGUUGUGAAAGCCCUGGGCUCAACCUGGGAAUUGCAGUGGAUACUGGGUCACUAGAGUGUGGUAGAGGAUAGUGGAAUUUCUGGUGUAGCAGUGAAAUGCGUAGAGAUCGGAAGGAACAUCUGUGGCGAAGGCGACUAUCUGGGCCAACACUGACACUGAGGCACGAAAGCGUGGGGAGCAAACAGGAUUAGAUACCCCGGUAGUCCCUGUCUCUUAUAC
Molecule: ribosomal RNA, 301 nt
Filed under: uncultured bacterium
Lineage: Bacteria
Description: partial 16S ribosomal RNA
Rfam family: Bacterial small subunit ribosomal RNA
Source: RNAcentral